GAUGAACGCUAGCGGCAGGCCUAACACAUGCAAGUCGAGGGGCAGCACAGAAACAGCAAUGUUUUGGUGGCGACCGGCGGACGGGUGCGUAACGCGUAUGCAACCUACCUUUAACAGGGGGAUAACGGAGAGAAAUUUCCACUAAUACCCCAUAACAUCGAUCAAGGCAUCUUGAUUGGUUGAAAACUCCGGUGGUUAAAGAUGGGCAUGCGUUGUAUUAGGUAGUUGGUGAGGUAAUGGCUCACCAAGCCUACGAUACAUAGGGGGACUGAGAGGUUCGCCCCCCACACUGGUACUGAGACGCGGACCAGACUCCUACGGGAGGCAGCAGUGAGGAAUAUUGGUCAAUGGGGGCAACCCUGAACCAGCCAUGCCGCGUGCAGGAAGACGGCUCUAUGAGUUGUAAACUGCUUUUAAACAGGGAUAAAGCACAGUAUGUAUACUGUGUUGAAGGUACUGUAAGAAUAAGGAUCGGCUAACUCCGUGCCAGCCGCCGCGGUAA
This 502-nucleotide ribosomal RNA is filed under the name uncultured bacterium. RNAcentral describes it as "partial 16S ribosomal RNA". It matches the Rfam family "Bacterial small subunit ribosomal RNA", at positions 28 to 523 of the family's 1533-position model. The record is from RNAcentral.